CCCUUAGAUGUCCUGGGCCGCACGCGCGCUACACUGACAUGUUCAACAAGCCUCCUAGUUCGACAGGAUUUGGGAAAUCUUUGAACGCAUGUCGUGAUAGGGAUAGAUCAUUGCAAUUAUUGAUCUUGAACGAGGAAUUCCUAGUAAACGCGAGUCAUCAGCUCGCAUUGGUUACGUCCCUGCCCUUUGUACACACCGCCCGUCGCACCUACCGAUUGAAUGUUUCGGUGAAGAUUCCGGAUAGGACUUUUUUGAUUUAUUUCAAUUUUGUCUUAAAAGCUAUCUAAACCUCAACAUUUAGAGGAAGGUGAAGUCGUAACA
RNAcentral lists this ribosomal RNA (321 nucleotides) under uncultured eukaryote. RNAcentral's name for it is "partial 18S ribosomal RNA". It matches the Rfam family "Eukaryotic small subunit ribosomal RNA", at positions 1470 to 1796 of the family's 1831-position model. The record is from RNAcentral.